This is a non-coding RNA of Triticum aestivum (bread wheat), 135 nucleotides long. Lineage: Eukaryota; Viridiplantae; Streptophyta; Magnoliopsida; Poales; Poaceae. The record is from Rfam.
UUUGUACUUCCUCCGUUCGAAAAUACUUGUCAUCAAGACGAAUAAAAGGAGAUGUAUCUAAAUGUAUUUUAAUUUUAGAUACACCCCUUUUUAUUCAUUUUAAUAACAAAUAUUACCGGACGAAGAAAGUACGUC